This 961-nucleotide ribosomal RNA is filed under the name uncultured bacterium. RNAcentral's name for it is "bacterial SSU rRNA". It matches the Rfam family "Bacterial small subunit ribosomal RNA", at positions 521 to 1482 of the family's 1533-position model. The record is from RNAcentral.
UAAUACGUAGGGGGCGAGCGUUGUCCGGAAUUACUGGGCGUAAAGGGCGUGUAGGCGGGGCGGCAAGUCAGGUGUGAAAUCCCGGGGCUUAACUCCGGAGCUGCAUCUGAAACUGCUGUUCNGAGUGCUGGAGAGGAAAGUGGAAUUCCCAGUGUAGCGGUGAAAUGCGUAGAGAUUGGGAGGAACACCAGUGGCGAAGGCGGCUUUCUGGACAGUAACUGACGCUGAGGCGCGAAAGCGUGGGGAGCAAACAGGAUUAGAUACCCUGGUAGUCCACGCCGUAAACGAUGGAUACUAGGUGUAGGAGGUAUCGACCCCUUCUGUGCCGGAGUUAACACAAUAAGUAUCCCGCCUGGGGAGUACGGCCGCAAGGCUGAAACUCAAAGGAAUUGACGGGGGCCCGCACAAGCAGUGGAGUAUGUGGUUUAAUUCGAAGCAACGCGAAGAACCUUACCAGGGCUUGACAUCCCUCUGACCGGUGUAGAGAUACACCUUCCCUUCGGGGCAGAGGUGACAGGUGGUGCAUGGUUGUCGUCAGCUCGUGUCGUGAGAUGUUGGGUUAAGUCCCGCAACGAGCGCNACCCCUGUUGUUAGUUGCCAUCAUUAAGUUGGGCACUCUAGCAAGACUGCCGGUGACAAAUCGGAGGAAGGUGGGGAUGACGUCAAAUCAUCAUGCCCCUUAUGUCCUGGGCUACACACGUACUACAAUGGCGACUACAAUGGGAGGCNAUACCGCGAGGUGGAGCAAAUCCCCAAAAGUCGCCCCAGUUCAGAUUGCAGGCUGCNACUCGCCUGCAUGAAGUCGGAAUUGCUAGUAAUGGCAGGUCAGCAUACUGCCGUGAAUACGUUCCCGNGCNUUGUACACACCGCCCGUCACACCAUGAGAGCUGACAACACCCGAAGUCAGUAGCCUAACCGCAAGGGGGGGGCGCUGCCGAAGGUGGGGUUGGUGAUUGGGGUG